RNAcentral lists this ribosomal RNA (695 nucleotides) under uncultured methanogenic archaeon. RNAcentral describes it as "bacterial SSU rRNA". It matches the Rfam family "Archaeal small subunit ribosomal RNA", at positions 54 to 744 of the family's 1478-position model. The record is from RNAcentral. Lineage: Archaea; Methanobacteriati; Methanobacteriota.
CUCCCCCCCGCCGCCGUGAUUCGAGCCGACCCUCGCGGUGCUCUGAUUACCUCUACACGUGGAUAAUCUGCCCUAUGGUGGAGGAUAACCCCGGGAAACUGGGGAUAAUACUCCAUAAGUCAGGAGUACUGGAAUGUCUCCUAACUGAAAGUUGCGGCGCCAUAGGAUGAAUCUGCGGCCGAUUAGGUAGUUGUUGGGGUAACGGCCCAACAAGCCCGUAAUCGUUACGGGUUGUGGGAGCAAGAGCCCGGAGAUGGAAUCUGAGACACGAUUCCAGGCCCUACUUUUUCGCAGCAGGCGCGAAAACUUUACAAUGCAGGAAACUGUGAUAAGGGAACCCCGAGUGCCCGUAAACGCGGGCUGUCCCGGUGUUUAAAACACAUCGGAAGAAAGGGCCGGGCAAGACCGGUGCCAGCCGCCGCGGUAAUACCGGCGGCUCGAGUGGUGACCACUUUUAUUGGGCUUAAAGCGUUCGUAGCUUGAUUUUUAAGUCUCUUGGGAAAUCUCACGGCUUAACUGUGAGGCGUCUAGAGAUACUGGGAAUCUAGGGACCGGGAGAGGUAGAGGUACUUUCAGGGGUAGAAGUGAAAUUCUUGUAUCCUUGAGGACACCGAUGGGCGAAGGCAUCUUACCAAACGCUCUCACAGGUAGGAACGAAAGAUUGGGGGAGCGGAACGGGAUAGAUAUCCCGGGAG